CGACCCGUAAACCAUUAUAGUCUAUGCGGAUUAAGGAUCGGUCGCCUUCACUACGGAGGACUCGACUCAGAAAACGACUAAAAACGUUUUGUAAACAGGGUAAUUACCUUGUUAUUAUAUCAGUAUGAUAUGUUUGAAUUACCCUUUAGAUAUAAAUUAUAAAAUUAAAAACAAACCCUUAAAGGUUUGGCAAACAAAACAAAAAAGGUAUCCGUAAUGGGUGACUUAUAGAAGUAUCUUAUUAUCUCCCUGUCAUAUCUUUACACUCUAUAAAGUCAGUAAAUUUUGUGAUAUUUAAAGAAAAAACAACGUGCUCAUAUUUCGUUUGGCAGCCACGAUUUUCAUUUAAUGCCUUUCUUUUAAUUCAAUUUGCAUGCACGUAUUUUAUAGCGACUGUCGUUUUGGUUUGAAUUCCUUCCCUUUGUUGUUUUAUUUAGUUUGAAUUUUGCUGUUGCAUUUGAAAAAAUAUAUAACAUUAUAUGCUAUGUUCUGUGCAUGUGAUGUGUCAGCUUCACUCAGAACUAUGCCUACGUUCAAUCAUGCUAAGUGUUUUCGCCGCUUCUUGAUCCCAUCUCCAAGUUGACCACACAUUAUCAGCCUUAUCUGCGUUUGCACCCGAGAGCUGAACGGUGACGAGAACCAAGAUGAGGAGAAGAAGAACUUUGCGAUUCAUGAUGAUUUAUCUUUGCUUACUUAAAGAAGAUGAAAAUAUGAACGAUCAUCUCCAUCUUUUAUGUCCUCAAAAGUCGAGGUUCUUUUUCUUUUAUUUUCUCUUGUAAAGCACGUUCUUUCUCUCUUUGCGAAAAAUCUUUUUUUCUUUUUCAUGGUAAAAGAAUCAUGAAUGGUUUCUUAGAGAUGCUCAAUUUAUCUACAGAAAAAAACAACAUACUAUUGUUUCACAAGCACCCGUUCUUUACACUUAUCCUCCUUAAGUAACCAUACGUUAUAUUAAAAUAAAUACAAAUUGUUCUGGA
Non-coding RNA from Ciona intestinalis (vase tunicate), 974 nucleotides. Lineage: Eukaryota; Metazoa; Chordata; Ascidiacea; Phlebobranchia; Cionidae. The record is from RefSeq and is a predicted model, not a curated record.